This 329-nucleotide ribosomal RNA is filed under the name uncultured bacterium. RNAcentral's name for it is "bacterial SSU rRNA". It matches the Rfam family "Bacterial small subunit ribosomal RNA", at positions 570 to 898 of the family's 1533-position model. The record is from RNAcentral.
CGUAGGCGGUCUGCUAAGUUCGGAGUGACAGUCACCAGCUUAACUGGUGAAGGAUUUUGAAAACUGGCGGACUUGAGAGCGAAAGAGGGACAUGGAAUUCCGGGUGGAGCAGUGAAAUGCGUAGAGAUCCGGAGGAACACCAAGGCGAAGGCAGUGUCCUGGUUCGUAUCUGACGCUGAGGCGCGAAAGCCAGGGGAGCGAACGGGAUUAGAUACCCCGGUAGUCCUGGCCGUAAACGAUGACCACUAGGUGUGGGAGGGAUCGACCCCUUCCGUGCCGCAGUCAACACAGUAAGUGGUCCGCCUGGGGAGUACGGUCGCAAGACUAAA